Molecule: ribosomal RNA, 273 nt
Filed under: uncultured bacterium
Lineage: Bacteria
Description: partial small subunit ribosomal RNA
Rfam family: Bacterial small subunit ribosomal RNA
Source: RNAcentral
AGAAUCAACGCUGGCGGCGUGCCUAACACAUGCAAGUCGAACGCGAAAGUCCCGCAAGGGAUAAGUAGAGUGGCAAACGGGUGAGUAACGCGUGGGUGACCUGCCUUCGAGUGGGGGAUAACGUUUCGAAAGGAACGCUAAUACCGCAUAACAUGCCGCCUUUUAAGAGGUGGACAUCAAAGCCUGGGACCGCAAGGCCAGGCGCUUGUAGAGGGGCCCGCGUCUGAUUAGCUAGGUUGGUGGGGUAAUGGCUCACCAAGGCAACGAUCAGUA